This 981-nucleotide unclassified non-coding RNA is filed under the name Hevea brasiliensis (rubber tree). Lineage: Eukaryota; Viridiplantae; Streptophyta; Magnoliopsida; Malpighiales; Euphorbiaceae. The record is from RNAcentral.
GAUUCUGGAUGACUUGGAGGCAAAUCCUGGUAAAUAUGAAGGCAAAAACUUGUCAGAGUUAGCUGACGAGGAAGAUUUUGAUGAAGAAAAUAGCACUGAGUACUCCAAAGCUUAUUAUAAGAAAGCGUUGCUUACCAAGAUGAUUACAAAAGUCAGUGUAAGAGAGCUUGAUUUGGAAGCUGCACUUGCUGAGCGUCAGCACCAUAAUGAACUGAGAAUAGAAGCACUAGAACGAGGAGAGGUGUACAAAAUUUCCAAGCUGAGACGAAACAUUGAGAUGGAUGAAUACGAUUUUAUCCAUUGGCGGCGGUCCCUUGAGGAGAGAGAGGCUCUAUUAAGAGAUAUAAGCUGUCGCCGAGCCCUUGGGCUCCCACUGGAAGAGCCUGGUAGGUAUGUGGAUCCAAGUGCUAUCAGCAAGGACCAGUAUGAUCCUGAAAGUCCCUUGUACAGAUAUGACUACUGGGGCGAACCAAAGAACUCAGAGAAGAGCAAGCAGGAGCGAAUGACAGAUGCUCACAAUAAAUCUAUUGUUGGCAAAGGUACCGUUUGGUAUGAGUUGUCAUAUGAAGAUGCCAUCAAGGAGCAGAUGCAGAUGGAGGCCCAAGGAUUUGUGCGGGAGUUGUAUGAUGAAGAUUCUGACAGCGACCAAGUGAAUACAGACGAUGAAGACGAUGAGGAAGACUUUGAUUACAGCAUCCUAGGCGACCCAAGUGAAAAUACAAUCAACCAACCUUAUGUCAAUGGGACUGAAUCUUCUCAGCUAUCAGAUGAAGGUAUGUUUGAAGAUUAAGUGACAAAUAAGAAACUGAUUAGCAGCAAUACUAUAUUGAUAGUUUGUACAGCUAGGUACAUUAAACGGAUGCAAUUUUCGCAGAGUUUUUCCUAACGGGGGAUUGAUUUUUUUCAUCUUUAGAAAUGUAUUUGUUCUGUGCCUUAGUAGAAAAGAAACAAUUUUGUAUUCACUUACAACCAGUUGGUUUU